AUGUGGCGCCAUGGGUCAGUGUGUCUGGCUGUUAACCAGAAGGUUGGUGGUUUGAGCCCACCCAGGGAUG
RNAcentral lists this transfer RNA (70 nucleotides) under Podarcis lilfordi (Lilford's wall lizard). RNAcentral describes it as "tRNA.Asn". It matches the Rfam family "tRNA". From Rfam's summary of the family: Transfer RNA (tRNA) molecules are approximately 80 nucleotides in length. Their secondary structure includes four short double-helical elements and three loops (D, anti-codon, and T loops). Lineage: Eukaryota; Metazoa; Chordata; Lepidosauria; Squamata; Lacertidae. The record is from RNAcentral.